RNAcentral lists this small RNA (116 nucleotides) under Marmota monax (woodchuck). The record is from RNAcentral. Lineage: Eukaryota; Metazoa; Chordata; Mammalia; Rodentia; Sciuridae.
GCUGGGUGUGGUGGUACACCCCUGUGUCACAGCUACUUGGGGAGCUGAGGCAGGAAGAUCACUUGAAUCCAGGAGUUCAGGUCCAACCUGGGCAACUUAGCUAGAUCCUAUCUCCU